Molecule: ribosomal RNA, 254 nt
Filed under: uncultured bacterium
Lineage: Bacteria
Description: partial 16S ribosomal RNA
Rfam family: Bacterial small subunit ribosomal RNA
Source: RNAcentral
UACGUAGGGUGCGAGCGUUGUCCGGAUUUAUUGGGCGUAAAGAGCUCGUAGGCGGUUUGUCGCGUCGGCCGUGAAAUCUCCACGCUUAACGUGGAGCGUGCGGUCGAUACGGGCAGACUUGAGUUCGGUAGGGGAGACUGGAAUUCCUGGUGUAGCGGUGAAAUGCGCAGAUAUCAGGAAGAACACCCGUGGCGAAGGCGGCUCUCUGGGACGGUACUGACGCUGAGACGCGAAAGCGUGGGGGAGCGAACAGG